AUACGUAGGGAGCGAGCGUUGUCCGGAAUUACUGGGCGUAAAGGGCGCGUAGGCGGCGCUUCAAGUCGUCUGUCAAAUGGGAGGGCUUAACCCUUUUUCGCAGACGAAACUGGAGAGCUUGAGAAGCAGAGAGGCAAACAGAAUUCCUGGUGUAGCGGUGAAAUGCGUAGAUAUCAGGAAGAAUACCAGUGGCGAAGGCGGUUUGCUGGCUGCAUACUGACGCUGAAGCGCGAAAGCCAGGGGAGCAAACGGGAUUAGAUACCCCGGUAGUCCUGGCAGUAAACGAUGUAUGCUGGGUGUGAGACUAGCGAUAGUUUCGUGCCGAAGUUAACGCGAUAAGUAUUCCGCCUGGGGAGUACGGUCGCAAGAUUGAAACUUAAAGGAAUUGGCGGGG
RNAcentral lists this ribosomal RNA (394 nucleotides) under uncultured bacterium. RNAcentral's name for it is "partial 16S ribosomal RNA". It matches the Rfam family "Bacterial small subunit ribosomal RNA", at positions 523 to 918 of the family's 1533-position model. The record is from RNAcentral.